This 327-nucleotide ribosomal RNA is filed under the name Triticum aestivum (bread wheat). RNAcentral's name for it is "partial small subunit ribosomal RNA". The record is from RNAcentral. Lineage: Eukaryota; Viridiplantae; Streptophyta; Magnoliopsida; Poales; Poaceae.
GACAUAGUUGAAUGUUUUGCAAAGGAGAUAUUGCAUUCUGUUCUUCGGGAAAUUGGCAAUGAUGUAUUUUCUUUGUUGGUUGAUGAGUCAAGGGAUGUGGCUGGUAAAGAGCAAAUGGCGGUGGUGUUGCGGUAUGUUGGUAAAUGUGGAAGUGCCAUAGAGACAUUAGUUGGCCUUACUCAUGUGAAGGAGACAACUUCCAAGUAUCUCAAGUCUGCCAUUGAUGAUUUAUUUGCAGAAUAUAAGUUAAGUUUCAAGCAAGUUAGAGGGCAAGGAUAUGAUGGUGCGAGCAAUAUGCGAGUGAGUUUAAUGGCUUGCAAUCCUUAA